RNAcentral lists this ribosomal RNA (497 nucleotides) under uncultured bacterium. RNAcentral's name for it is "partial 16S ribosomal RNA". It matches the Rfam family "Bacterial small subunit ribosomal RNA", at positions 28 to 507 of the family's 1533-position model. The record is from RNAcentral.
GACGAACGCUGGCGGCGUGCCUAAUACAUGCAAGUUGAGCGAUGAAGAUUGGUGCUUGCACCCAUUUGAAGAGCAGCGAACGGGUGAGUAACGCGUGGGGAAUCUGCCUUUGAGCGGGGGACAACAUUUGGAAACGAAUGCUAAUACCGCAUAACAACUUUAAACAUAAGUUUUAAGUUUGAAAGAUGCAAUUGCAUCACUCAAAGAUGAUCCCGCGUUGUAUUAGCUAGUUGGUGAGGUAAAGGCUCACCAAGGCGAUGAUACAUAGCCGACCUGAGAGGGUGAUCGGCCACAUUGGGAAUGAGACACGGCCCAAACUCCUACGGGAGGCAGCAGUAGGGAAUCUUCGGCAAUGGACGAAAGUCUGACCGAGCAACGCCGCGUGAGUGAAGAAGGUUUUCGGAUCGUAAAACUCUGUUGGUAGAGAAGAACGUUGGUGAGAGUGGAAAGCUCAUCAAGUGACGGUAACUACACAGAAAGGGACGGCUAACUACGUG